GACGAACGCUGGCGGCGUGCUUAACACAUGCAAGUCGAACGGAAAGGCCCUGCUUUUGUGGGGUGCUCGAGUGGCGAACGGGUGAGUAACACGGGAGUAUCCUGCCCUUGACUUUGGGAUAACUUCAGGAAACUGGGGCUAAUACCUGAUAGGAGCUCCUGCUGCAUGGUGGGGGUUGGAACGUUUAGGCGGUUGGGGCUUGACUCUCGGUUUAUCAGCUGGUGGGUGGGGGAGUGGCUUACCAAGGGUUUGAUGGGUAGCCGGCCUGGGAGGGUGACCGGCCACAUGGGUACUGAGAUACGCCGCAGACGCCAACGGGAGACAACGGUGGAGAGCAUUGCACAAUGGUGGGACGCCUGAUGCAGCAACGCUGCGUUCGGAAUGACGGCCUUCUGGGUAUAAACCGCAUUCGCCUAUUACGAAGCGUGAGUGACGGUAAUAGGUAAAUAAGCACCGGCUAACUACGUG
RNAcentral lists this ribosomal RNA (468 nucleotides) under uncultured bacterium. RNAcentral describes it as "partial 16S ribosomal RNA". It matches the Rfam family "Bacterial small subunit ribosomal RNA", at positions 28 to 507 of the family's 1533-position model. The record is from RNAcentral.